This 143-nucleotide non-coding RNA is filed under the name Actinomadura madurae. The record is from RNAcentral. Lineage: Bacteria; Bacillati; Actinomycetota; Actinomycetes; Streptosporangiales; Thermomonosporaceae.
AAGAGGGAACCCGGUGUGAGUCCGGGACUGCCCCGCAGCGGUGAGCGGGAACGACCGCCGUCAUCACGCACUGGGCCGCACGGCCUGGGAAGCGACGGCCAGUAGGACGCCUUUCGAGGCGGCGCCCGCGAGUCCGAAGACCU